CGCUGCCUGAAAAGAAACAGCAAGUGCUCGCUGGGCCCUGCGGAAGCUUCCAGUAGCCCGAAUGGUGGUGGUUCAGCACCGCACAUGCUCUCUGGAGUUCCGUUCACGCUGCAGCCAACGGGAGAGUGCCCGCCUACCGUCGCCACCCGCCCGUGAGUUGCACCUGCGCGAGUGAGGGCAGAGUGCAAGCGGGCCAGCCACGGUGGCAGUGGUGCCUCCAUAUUGUCCCACUCCCCCCUUCUUGCCUUCCUACCUGCCUUGGAGAAGAGAAGCCUCUUGGUAACAACCGAGCUGCAAGCAUUCACAACAUUCCUCUGGGAAGGAUCAAGAAACUAAUAAUUGGAGCACUGUAGACCUUGAAAAAUAUAAUCCUUAAUCUUUAUUUGAAGAGCUAAAGUGAGAGGAGAUUCAGGAGCCCUCCAACUUGCAAUAGGUUUGAAACAUCGAAGGCAGCUUACACCAAAAAUAAAAAAACGAUACAGCAAGUAAUAAACAAAAACCAAUGAACCUCAAAUCAUAUAUAUUUCUAGGCAAAGACAAACACCCUAGACAUGUCCACUGAAAAGGCCCUCUUCCAGAUGCCUCCCCUGCUGUCCUUAGACUCAUGUGAGAGGAGGGGAUUGAAGAAGGAUCUCCAAUGGCUGGCUGGCAUUUGUAAUCUAGAAUUUCAGAAGUGACCCACAGUAGGACUGUGCUUGUUCUUAUUAUACACCAUGGGAUGCUUGGGUUUUUUUAAAGUAAUAUCUCUUCCAGCAAUUUCUAAUCACAUUUUUUGUGUUGCUGAAACAUCUGAGCAAAAUUUCCGAGUUGCUUUAUGAGGUUUUACUAUGAUCCAAUCACAAAUUACACUAGGUGAAUGUUUCAAAUAAAAUCAAGAGAGUUUCAAAAGAUAA
Long non-coding RNA from Hemicordylus capensis (graceful crag lizard), 893 nucleotides. RefSeq lists it as uncharacterized. The transcript is spliced from 5 exons. The record is from RefSeq and is a predicted model, not a curated record. NCBI's taxonomy places the organism in Eukaryota, Metazoa, Chordata, Lepidosauria, Squamata, Cordylidae.